This is a long non-coding RNA of Gymnodraco acuticeps, 586 nucleotides long. RefSeq lists it as uncharacterized. Lineage: Eukaryota; Metazoa; Chordata; Actinopteri; Perciformes; Bathydraconidae. The record is from RefSeq and is a predicted model, not a curated record. The transcript has 2 exons.
GUCACGACAUGCAGCCGACUCCCGGUGCUGCAGAGUUCCUUUAUUAUUACGCUUUUGCUUUGGAUACUAUUGAUCUUUUCACAAUGAGAAUCGUACAGUAAACAUCAAGAAAAGCCAAAGCCUUGUGAUUAUUGGAGGAUUCAAGUUGUUAGCUACCUGUCUAGCUUUGCAUAGCCGCACACUGCGAGGGCAGAACACUAAUUGAGCCGCAUAAGCGCAUAAUAGUGCACCGCUUUGUGCUCCAGAUGAGGAGGUGAGGCCCCCUCAUAACGGCAUGAACCCGUGUGGCACAAUACAACUCAGACUGGCUGCCUGUACGUCAAUCAUGCUCCAGAUGAGGAGGUGAGGCCCCCUCAUAACGGCAUGAACCCGUAUGGCACAAUACAACUCAGACUGGCUGACCUGUACGUCAAUCAAGUGGCAAAUGCCAUAGUAAGGAUGGAUGAUGGUGAUCUACCCACACUACCUUUGCGAUCGACGUAUUGGGCACCCCUGUCCUAGAUGAUGUGCUUUUUUAAUCCGUUUGAGUUCACUGUGACUUGUCUGACCUUCCUCUUGUCUUUCUUGGCUUAAAGCUUAUCUAUAA